CGGUCCUCCCGGGGAUGGUGGGGGACGACUGUUGGGACCGCCUCUGCUAAAGAGGAGGAAGGAAUGGGCAACGGUAGGUCAGCAUGCCCCGAAUUAUCUGGGCUACACGCGGGCUACAAUGGGUGGGACAAUGGGUAUCGACACCGAAAGGUGAAGGCAAUCUCCUAAACCCAUCCGUAGUUCGGAUUGUGGGCUGCAACUCGCCCACAUGAAGCUGGAAUCUGUAGUAAUCGUGUCUCAAAAUGGCACGGUGAAUAUGUCCCUGCUCCUU
This 271-nucleotide ribosomal RNA is filed under the name uncultured Methanomicrobiales archaeon. RNAcentral's name for it is "partial 16S ribosomal RNA". It matches the Rfam family "Archaeal small subunit ribosomal RNA", at positions 1068 to 1338 of the family's 1478-position model. The record is from RNAcentral. Lineage: Archaea; Methanobacteriati; Methanobacteriota; Methanomicrobia; Methanomicrobiales.